Molecule: ribosomal RNA, 2933 nt
Filed under: Escherichia coli
Lineage: Bacteria; Pseudomonadati; Pseudomonadota; Gammaproteobacteria; Enterobacterales; Enterobacteriaceae
Description: 23S ribosomal RNA
Rfam family: Bacterial large subunit ribosomal RNA
Source: RNAcentral
GGGUUGUGAGGUUAAGCGACUAAGCGUACACGGUGGAUGCCCUGGCAGUCAGAGGCGAUGAAGGACGUGCUAAUCUGCGAUAAGCGUCGGUAAGGUGAUAUGAACCGUUAUAACCGGCGAUUUCCGAAUGGGGAAACCCAGUGUGUUUCGACACACUAUCAUUAACUGAAUCCAUAGGUUAAUGAGGCGAACCGGGGGAACUGAAACAUCUAAGUACCCCGAGGAAAAGAAAUCAACCGAGAUUCCCCCAGUAGCGGCGAGCGAACGGGGAGCAGCCCAGAGCCUGAAUCAGUGUGUGUGUUAGUGGAAGCGUCUGGAAAGGCGCGCGAUACAGGGUGACAGCCCCGUACACAAAAAUGCACAUGCUGUGAGCUCGAUGAGUAGGGCGGGACACGUGGUAUCCUGUCUGAAUAUGGGGGGACCAUCCUCCAAGGCUAAAUACUCCUGACUGACCGAUAGUAAACCAGUACCGUGAGGGAAAGGCGAAAAGAACCCCGGCGAGGGGAGUGAAAAAGAACCUGAAACCGUGUACGUACAAGCAGUGGGAGCACGCUUAGGCGUGUGACUGCGUACCUUUUGUAUAAUGGGUCAGCGACUUAUAUUCUGUAGCAAGGUUAACCGAAUAGGGGAGCCGAAGGGAAACCGAGUCUUAACUGGGCGUUAAGUUGCAGGGUAUAGACCCGAAACCCGGUGAUCUAGCCAUGGGCAGGUUGAAGGUUGGGUAACACUAACUGGAGGACCGAACCGACUAAUGUUGAAAAAUUAGCGGAUGACUUGUGGCUGGGGGUGAAAGGCCAAUCAAACCGGGAGAUAGCUGGUUCUCCCCGAAAGCUAUUUAGGUAGCGCCUCGUGAAUUCAUCUCCGGGGGUAGAGCACUGUUUCGGCAAGGGGGUCAUCCCGACUUACCAACCCGAUGCAAACUGCGAAUACCGGAGAAUGUUAUCACGGGAGACACACGGCGGGUGCUAACGUCCGUCGUGAAGAGGGAAACAACCCAGACCGCCAGCUAAGGUCCCAAAGUCAUGGUUAAGUGGGAAACGAUGUGGGAAGGCCCAGACAGCCAGGAUGUUGGCUUAGAAGCAGCCAUCAUUUAAAGAAAGCGUAAUAGCUCACUGGUCGAGUCGGCCUGCGCGGAAGAUGUAACGGGGCUAAACCAUGCACCGAAGCUGCGGCAGCGACGCUUAUGCGUUGUUGGGUAGGGGAGCGUUCUGUAAGCCUGUGAAGGUGUGCUGUGAGGCAUGCUGGAGGUAUCAGAAGUGCGAAUGCUGACAUAAGUAACGAUAAAGCGGGUGAAAAGCCCGCUCGCCGGAAGACCAAGGGUUCCUGUCCAACGUUAAUCGGGGCAGGGUGAGUCGACCCCUAAGGCGAGGCCGAAAGGCGUAGUCGAUGGGAAACAGGUUAAUAUUCCUGUACUUGGUGUUACUGCGAAGGGGGGACGGAGAAGGCUAUGUUGGCCGGGCGACGGUUGUCCCGGUUUAAGCGUGUAGGCUGGUUUUCCAGGCAAAUCCGGAAAAUCAAGGCUGAGGCGUGAUGACGAGGCACUACGGUGCUGAAGCAACAAAUGCCCUGCUUCCAGGAAAAGCCUCUAAGCAUCAGGUAACAUCAAAUCGUACCCCAAACCGACACAGGUGGUCAGGUAGAGAAUACCAAGGCGCUUGAGAGAACUCGGGUGAAGGAACUAGGCAAAAUGGUGCCGUAACUUCGGGAGAAGGCACGCUGAUAUGUAGGUGAAGUCCCUUGCGGAUGGAGCUGAAAUCAGUCGAAGAUACCAGCUGGCUGCAACUGUUUAUUAAAAACACAGCACUGUGCAAACACGAAAGUGGACGUAUACGGUGUGACGCCUGCCCGGUGCCGGAAGGUUAAUUGAUGGGGUUAGCGGUAACGCGAAGCUCUUGAUCGAAGCCCCGGUAAACGGCGGCCGUAACUAUAACGGUCCUAAGGUAGCGAAAUUCCUUGUCGGGUAAGUUCCGACCUGCACGAAUGGCGUAAUGAUGGCCAGGCUGUCUCCACCCGAGACUCAGUGAAAUUGAACUCGCUGUGAAGAUGCAGUGUACCCGCGGCAAGACGGAAAGACCCCGUGAACCUUUACUAUAGCUUGACACUGAACAUUGAGCCUUGAUGUGUAGGAUAGGUGGGAGGCUUUGAAGUGUGGACGCCAGUCUGCAUGGAGCCGACCUUGAAAUACCACCCUUUAAUGUUUGAUGUUCUAACGUUGACCCGUGAUCCGGGUUGCGGACAGUGUCUGGUGGGUAGUUUGACUGGGGCGGUCUCCUCCUAAAGAGUAACGGAGGAGCACGAAGGUUGGCUAAUCCUGGUCGGACAUCAGGAGGUUAGUGCAAUGGCAUAAGCCAGCUUGACUGCGAGCGUGACGGCGCGAGCAGGUGCGAAAGCAGGUCAUAGUGAUCCGGUGGUUCUGAAUGGAAGGGCCAUCGCUCAACGGAUAAAAGGUACUCCGGGGAUAACAGGCUGAUACCGCCCAAGAGUUCAUAUCGACGGCGGUGUUUGGCACCUCGAUGUCGGCUCAUCACAUCCUGGGGCUGAAGUAGGUCCCAAGGGUAUGGCUGUUCGCCAUUUAAAGUGGUACGCGAGCUGGGUUUAGAACGUCGUGAGACAGUUCGGUCCCUAUCUGCCGUGGGCGCUGGAGAACUGAGGGGGGCUGCUCCUAGUACGAGAGGACCGGAGUGGACGCAUCACUGGUGUUCGGGUUGUCAUGCCAAUGGCACUGCCCGGUAGCUAAAUGCGGAAGAGAUAAGUGCUGAAAGCAUCUAAGCACGAAACUUGCCCCGAGAUGAGUUCUCCCUGACCCUUUAAGGGUCCUGAAGGAACGUUGAAGACGACGACGUUGAUAGGCCGGGUGUGUAAGCGCAGCGAUGCGUUGAGCUAACCGGUACUAAUGAACCGUGAGGCUUAACCUUACAACGCCGAAGGUGUUU